This 460-nucleotide ribosomal RNA is filed under the name uncultured bacterium. RNAcentral's name for it is "partial 16S ribosomal RNA". It matches the Rfam family "Bacterial small subunit ribosomal RNA", at positions 338 to 795 of the family's 1533-position model. The record is from RNAcentral.
CCUACGGGAGGCAGCAGUGAGGAAUAUUGGUCAAUGGACGAGAGUCUGAACCCGCCAAGUAGCGUGAAGGCUGACUGCCCUAUGGGUUGUAAACUUCUUUUAUAUGGGAAUAAAAUGUUCCACGUGUGGGAUUUUGUAUGUACCAUAUGCAUAAGGAUCGUCUAACUCCGUGCCAGCAGCCGCGGUAAUACGGAGGAUCCGAGCGUUAUCCGGAUGUAUUGGGUUUCAAGGGAGCGUAGGUGGAUUGUUAAGUCAGUUGUGAAAGUUUGCGGCUCAACCGUAAAAUUGCAGUUGAAACUGGCAGUAUUGAGUACAGUAGAGGUGGGCGGAAGUCGUGGUGUAGCGGUGAAAUGCUUAGAUAUCACGAAGAACUCCGAUUGCGAAGGCAGUUCACUGGACUGCAACUGACACUGAGGCUCGAAAGUGUGGGUAUCAAACAGGAUUAGAUACCCCAGUAGUC